AUUGAACGCUGGCGGCAGGCCUAACACAUGCAAGUCGAGCGGAUGAAGGGAGCUUGCUCCUGGAUUCAGCGGCGGACGGGUGAGUAAUGCCUAGGAAUCUGCCUGGUAGUGGGGGAUAACGUCCGGAAAUGGGCGCUAAUACCGCAUACGUCCUGAGGGAGAAAGUGGGGGAUCUUCGGACCUCACGCUAUCAGAUGAGCCUAGGUCGGAUUAGCUAGUUGUUGGGGUAAAGGCCUACCAAGGCGACGAUCCGUAACUGGUCUGAGAGGAUGAUCAGUCACACUGGAACUGAGACACGGUCCAGACUCCUACGGGAGGCAGCAGUGGGGAAUAUUGGACAAUGGGCGAAAGCCUGAUCCAGCCAUGCCGCGUGUGUGAAGAAGGUCUUCGGAUUGUAAAGCACUUUAAGUUGGGAGGAAGGGCAGUAAGUUAAUACCUUGCUGUUUUGACGUUACCAACAGAAUAAGCACCGGCUAACUUCGUG
This 484-nucleotide ribosomal RNA is filed under the name uncultured bacterium. RNAcentral describes it as "partial 16S ribosomal RNA". It matches the Rfam family "Bacterial small subunit ribosomal RNA", at positions 30 to 507 of the family's 1533-position model. The record is from RNAcentral.